Molecule: unclassified non-coding RNA, 230 nt
Filed under: Hevea brasiliensis (rubber tree)
Lineage: Eukaryota; Viridiplantae; Streptophyta; Magnoliopsida; Malpighiales; Euphorbiaceae
Source: RNAcentral
AGUGGCCAUUUUAGUAUUAGUACAGGGAUUGACGGACCAUUUAUCUUGUAUCUAUUUGCUCAGAGCAGAUGCUUCCAGACUAUUGUUAUUUCAUUUCUUCUUUGCCCUCAGAACAUAAUUGAACUUGUUACUUACAUGUUUGUGGUGUACUUUUUAAAUCCAUAGCUUUAAACACUAGCAUGCCAAUUUAUUUUCUUUGAAGUAUGCCAUUUUAUUCCCCCCACCGCCAC